Molecule: ribosomal RNA, 445 nt
Filed under: uncultured bacterium
Lineage: Bacteria
Description: bacterial SSU rRNA
Rfam family: Bacterial small subunit ribosomal RNA
Source: RNAcentral
CCCAGACUCCUACGGGAGGCAGCAGUGGGGAAUAUUGCACAAUGGGGGAAACCCUGAUGCAGCAACGCCGCGUGAGUGAAGAAGUAUUUCGGUAUGUAAAGCUCUAUCAGCAGGGAAGAAAAUGACGGUACCUGAGUAAGAAGCCCCGGCUAACUACGUGCCAGCAGCCGCGGUAAUACGUAGGGGGCAAGCGUUAUCCGGAUUUACUGGGUGUAAAGGGAGCGUAGACGGCGAUGCAAGUCUGAAGUGAAAGCCCGGGGCUCAACCCCGGGACUGCUUUGGAAACUGUAUGGCUGGAGUGCUGGAGAGGCAAGCGGAAUUCCUAGUGUAGCGGUGAAAUGCGUAGAUAUCAGGAGGAACACCGGCGGCGAAGGCGGCCUGCUGGACCGUGACUGACGUUGAGGCUCGAGAGCGUGGGGAGCAAACAGGAUUAGAUACCCUCGUA